AGGACGAACGCUGGCGGCGUGCUUAACACAUGCAAGUCGAGCGGAAAGGCCCUUCGGGGUACUCGAGCGGCGAACGGGUGAGUAACACGUGAGUAAUCUGCCCCUAGCUCUGGGAUAGCUCCGGGAAACCGGGAUUAAUACCAGAUACGACCACUUUAGACAUCUGUUGUGGUGGAAAGAAUUUUGGCUAGGGAUGAGCUCGCGGCCUAUCAGCUUGUUGGUGAGGUAACGGCUCACCAAGGCGACGACGGGUAGCCGGCCUGAGAGGGCGACCGGCCACACUGGGACUGAGGCACGGCCCAGACUCCUACGGGAGGCAGCAGUGGGGAAUAUUGCGCAAUGGGCGAAAGCCUGACGCAGCGACGCCGCGUGGGGGAUGAAGGCCUUCGGGUUGUAAACCCCUUUCAGCAGGGACGAAGCGAGAGUGACGGUACCUGCAGAAGAAGCGCCGGCUAACUACGCGCCAGCAAGCCGC
This 475-nucleotide ribosomal RNA is filed under the name uncultured bacterium. Its description in RNAcentral is "SSU rRNA". It matches the Rfam family "Bacterial small subunit ribosomal RNA", at positions 26 to 518 of the family's 1533-position model. The record is from RNAcentral.